ACAAAAAAACCCAAAUCAAUCCAUGAAAUAAAUGAGCAGUCACAGCUCUGAAUGCUUCGAUCACAAGGUAACCCCAGACAAGGCUGCAGCAGCCCCACCACUCCCACCCAGCAAAACCCCACCACUGAGCACCUGUGCAGACCAAAGCCAGAACUGUUUUGAAAAUGUCUAGUGAUUUUGGGUACCUUUGCAGGGGCCUGAUUGUCAGCAAGUGCUGAGCACCCACCCUCUGAAAAAUCAGCCCCCUUUCAGGUGUCUCUAGGUGGGUACCUACAAUUUCUAGGCCUAUAUUCUUGGCCUAUAUUACUAGAGGAUAAUCCCACCUCUUUGGGGUAACACAUGGGAUAGUCCCAGCUAAGAGCUUCCAAUGGUCCCAGGCAUCUAGUGACAGUUUCACACAUCCCCUGGCCUCUGUUUCCAAGAUCAACCUAGUCCUGAAAAUUAGGAGCGUUAGUGUGGCUGCGAAUGAAUGGUAGAAAGUAGGCCAAGGUGACUUCACCAGUCCCACUGGGCAGCCCCAGUCAGACUCCAUUCUCAGUGAGCAACCAGUUAAAUCAGUCCUAAGUACAUCAGUCCGUCUGCGCCUGUGAGACGGGUAGGGCGUAGGGAAAUGAAAAGCAGACUGCAUGCAAGGCCUCUUCAUUCACACCCCCCACCCCCUACAACCACAUCCACCCCGCACCUUACACUGUACACGCCGAGGAGUGGAGGAUUAUUGCCUUCAGGUGAAGCCACUAUUGGAGCAGGACAGCUCCACAGUCUGAGCCAGUUUGUGGGCUGGUGCUUUGUAAGUACACCGUCACUAUAUAUAUUCCUGCAGGUUACAGGCCUAAGGGUGUGUUUGUGCUGCAGUCAGAGAUGUGACCGCGCCACAUGUGGACAUACCCAAGCUAGCUUUGAUCCAGCUGGUUUAAACAACAGCCGCCGAGAAGGCACAGCAGCAGCGUGAGCGGGCCAGCCCUGCCCAGCACCUUGGGUCUGUAUCCAGGACUAGCCCACUCAGUUCUGGAGAUCAGGCUUAACUCAGGUCUGCCCACAUGUGCAGCAGUCGCACCCCUGCCUGUAGUGCAGACAUACCCUAUGGUCAGCUGGCCUGCCCAGCACUAAGGCUAGACUGUGAAGUAGGGUAACCAGGCAGCAAAUGUGACAAAUUGGGACGGGGGGUGGGGGGUAAUAGGAGCCUAUAUAAGAAAAAGACCCAAAAAGCGGGACUGUCCCUAUGAAAUUGGGACAUCUGGUCACCCUACUUUAAAGGUAUUAAGGCACUUGCACCUUUGGGCACCUCUGAAAAAUCCCAUCCGCACCGGACCCCCAUUAAUUUCAAUGGGGGUUAGGCAUUUAGACUGAAAAUUCCUACUAGGUGCCCCUCUUCAUCUUUCUAGCCUUCACUGCUUUUUGGGCUGUACAGACAUAACCAGGACUUGAUUACGUUAAGCUUGUAGAGAUUAAUGGUGCCACUUGUUAAGCUAAUGAAGUGAUCCUGCAGUAACUAACAGGGGCUUUUCAGUCUGUCCUGUCCCUCAUGAGCAAAUUUGCCGAGUACCAAAAUCAAGUCACUAGUUGAUACAGAGCAGGGGUGACAAGAGCUGAUUUAAUUCUCACUUCCAACAUCUGAUCACGUUUGUAUGAGGUCUCAGUGGCAGCCCUGACAGGGGCCUCAGCAGGGCUCUGGGAUUAACUGUUAUCUUGUGUCUCAUCACCUCAGCCCCACCUCAGCCUGUCCCUCGAAUGCACUGGGGUGUCCCAGGGGACACAAUGGACCCAAGACAACCGGUACCUGCAGUGGAACCCACAGCUUUUAACUUCAUUAUACAGGAUUCCGCCGAUGGAGCAACAUUCCAGUCAUGUGACAUCCCUCCCUAGGGCCCAGCUGCUGAAUUAACAGAGGGAGUAGAAAUGUGUGGAAACUAUGGAAACGGCAAACCCCAAACAAUGGGCUCAUUGGAUUGCGUGCACCAAGCUGCAGCCCAUACAGCAGUUCUGUGGCUGGAUACACAGACACCCGGAAGGGCUGCACAGCACCAGGAACUGGAAGUGACUGUUGAUGAGAGCAGCACAAACUAACGUGCCGUCCACGAGCAUUUGUGCAAGGAAGUUGCGUCAUUCAGAUGCUGGCAAGAAGCAGACACAAACAGGGCAUGAUUACCAUGUUCCCUCUACUUUUUUACAUCCAUGUGUGGAAUGAAUUUUGUUAUGUGCACCAA
This is a long non-coding RNA of Gopherus flavomarginatus (Mexican gopher tortoise), 2204 nucleotides long. RefSeq lists it as uncharacterized. The transcript has 2 exons. NCBI's taxonomy places the organism in Eukaryota, Metazoa, Chordata, Testudines, Testudinidae. The record is from RefSeq and is a predicted model, not a curated record.